This 223-nucleotide ribosomal RNA is filed under the name uncultured bacterium. RNAcentral describes it as "partial 16S ribosomal RNA". It matches the Rfam family "Bacterial small subunit ribosomal RNA", at positions 109 to 334 of the family's 1533-position model. The record is from RNAcentral.
AGUAAUGUAUGGGGAGUCCGCCCGAUAGAGGGGGAUAACUACUGGAAACGGUGGCUAAUACCGCAUAAUGUCUACGGACCAAAGCAGGGGCUCUUCGGACCUUGCACUAUCGGAUGAACCCAUAUGGGAUUAGCUAGUAGGUGGGGUAAAGGCUCACCUAGGCGACGAUCUCUAGCUGGUCUGAGAGGAUGAUCAGCCACACUGGGACUGAGACACGGCCCAG